UACAGAGGGUGCAAGCGUUGUUCGGAAUUAUUGGGCGUAAAGGGCGCGUAGGCGGUGCGGUAAGUCUGUAGUGAAAUCUCUGGGCUCAACUCAGAGUCUGCUAUAGAAACUGCCGUGCUUGAGUGUGGGAGAGGUGAGUGGAAUUCCCGGUGUAGCGGUGAAAUGCGUAGAUAGUCGGGAGGAACACCUGUGGCGAAAGCGGCUCACUGGACCACAACUGACGCUGAGGCGCGAAAGCUAGGGGAGCAAACAGGAUAGAAACCCCUGU
This 268-nucleotide ribosomal RNA is filed under the name uncultured bacterium. Its description in RNAcentral is "partial 16S ribosomal RNA". It matches the Rfam family "Bacterial small subunit ribosomal RNA", at positions 524 to 790 of the family's 1533-position model. The record is from RNAcentral.